CAGUAGCCGCGGGAAUACGAAGGGGGCUAGCGUUGUUCGGAUUUACUGGGCGUAAAGCGCACGUAGGCGGAUCGAUCAGUCAGGGGUGAAAUCCCAGAGCUCAACUCUGGAACUGCCUUUGAUACUGUCGAUCUGGAGUAUGGAAGAGGUGAGUGGAAUUCCGAGUGUAGAGGUGAAAUUCGUAGAUAUUCGGAGGAACACCAGUGGCGAAGGCGGCUCACUGGUCCAUUACUGACGCUGAGGUGCGAAAGCGUGGGGAGCAAACAGGAUUAGAUACCCGGGUAGUCCCUGUCUCUUAUAC
This 301-nucleotide ribosomal RNA is filed under the name uncultured bacterium. RNAcentral's name for it is "partial 16S ribosomal RNA". It matches the Rfam family "Bacterial small subunit ribosomal RNA", at positions 509 to 807 of the family's 1533-position model. The record is from RNAcentral.